This 1586-nucleotide long non-coding RNA is filed under the name Marmota monax (woodchuck). The record is from RNAcentral. Lineage: Eukaryota; Metazoa; Chordata; Mammalia; Rodentia; Sciuridae.
CGCCUCUGCCUGCUGGGGGCCGUUCCCUGGGCUCGCCCCUCCAGCCGGGCUGUCAGCCCAGUGGGUGACCUCGCGUGGGACAGGUUCUGACUUCCUCACCUGGACACAGUCUCCGUAGGUGGGAGGCCUGCGGCUGCCACAUCAUGGCCGUGGGACCUGUGGACGCCCCCCACCCCCGCCAUGCCCGGUUUCCCAUAUGAAGCAGCCCAUCAGGGUGAUGAGACUACUGUACAGGCGGACAGGGGCCCUGGGAAGGGCCUGCCAGGUCCCCUUGCUGUGAGGGGACCGCCUCCGAGGGCCUCCUGGACAGCCAGCUGCGGCAAGGACUUUCUUGGCCUUACGUUGUGAGCUCACCCCCAGCCUCAGGUCGGGAAGUGGGCUCUUCCUUCAAGCAGGCACGGCUCCUGGGUAGCACUGCCCAGUGGUGGCCCCCGUGCAGACAGGGAUGUGGUAGAAAACAGACUCUCCCAGGGUGUUGGGACUAAGCACCUAAGAGAAACGACACCAAAAGAAAGCCAAGGACCCUCGCUUCCCAGGCUCCCCAUGAGGUUGGCCUUGGAGUCCCCGGAGCUGCUGCUGUGCCCUGAUGGGCCCCCCAGUUCCCCAAGCAGCCUUCCUGCUGAAGUGCUGAGGAGUUUGCUGUCACCCUGACCUUCCAUUAGUGUUCCCCAUACAAUCCCAUAACUAAGGUAACCUGCAAAGAUAACUGAGUUCCCUGUAGUUUGAAGUGGCCAAAGGAUGCAAAGAGCAGCACAUGGUAUGGAUCAAAUAGAUAGUAGCCGAUUCUAUUAGGUAAAGAAAAUGUCAACUUAAAGAGAAUGACUACUGGAGACAUUAGGGUGCCCUCUCUCAUCCACUCUUCCUCUUCUACAGUAGCACCCCCUAGUGUUUGGCUGCAGUUGGUUCAAAGGUAACAGAUGCCAUAAGGUGUACAGUCAGUGAGGUUGGGGACUUCUGUUUAGUUAAAGAUAACAUUUCUUUCAUUUGAUGUGAUUAAACAAACACAGAAGCUCGGAUUGCUGCUGUCAGAAUUUGCCACUACAGUAGAAGGCAGGCUGAGAACAAAUUGCUAAGAGGAAAAAGGAAGGACCAAGACCACCACGGAGGAGUCCAGGUCCACUGACGAUCAGUGAGUCUAAUUCAUUUUGGUAAGUGAGUCAGUUAGCAUUGGGAUUUGCUGUUUCAUGUAAUAGUGUAAAUAACUGGGAAAGAACAGUUUUACACUUUGAAAAAAAAUGAUCUCUUAACAGUGAGACUAAGAAGAUGCUUAUAAAGCUGCACAUUGUACACCUUCCCUAUAGAACUAGGAAAAAAAUCUCAAUUAUUUAGAAAAUUAACUCCUAAAAGCCACCAAAAUUUUUUAAUAUUUUUAUAACAGAAAGUACUAUAAAAGAAGAGUGGAUAAAUGUUUUGGCAGACUGUAUUCAAAGCCUAAGAUGGAAAGUGAAAUUUCUCCUAUCUUAUCUCUACCUGUAAGUUGCCCUUCAUUUAGCAAGAAACCCGUGGACACUUAAUUGAAUCUAUUAAGUAAUUCAUGUAGAAAAAUACCAAAGGACCAGAACUGAAGGGCACUAGUGAUUUCUUUC